RNAcentral lists this ribosomal RNA (582 nucleotides) under uncultured bacterium. RNAcentral describes it as "partial 16S ribosomal RNA". It matches the Rfam family "Bacterial small subunit ribosomal RNA", at positions 357 to 1375 of the family's 1533-position model. The record is from RNAcentral.
UGGGAAUUUGGACAAUGGGCGAAAGCCUGAUCCAGCAAUGCCGCGUGUGUGAAGAAGGCCUUCGGGUUGUAAAGCACUUUUGUCCGGAAAGAAAUCCUUGGCUCUAAUACAGUCGGGGGAUGACGGUACCGGAAGAAUAAGCACCGGCUAACUACGUGCCAGCAGCCGCGGUAAUACGUAGGGUGCAAGCGUUAAUCGGAAUUACUGGGCGUAAAGCGUGCGCAGGCGGUUUGCUAAGGCCGAUGUGAAAUCCCCGGGCUCAACCUGGGAACUGCAUUGGUGACUGGCAGGCUAGAGUAUGGCAGAGGGGGGUAGAAUUCCACGUGUAGCAGUGAAAUGCGUAGAGAUGUGGAGGAAUACCGAUGGCGAAGGCAGCCCCCUGGGCCAAUACUGACGCUCAUGCACGAAAGCGUGGGGAGCAAACAGGAUUAGAUACCCUGGUAGUCCACGCCCUAAACGAUGUCAACUAGUUGUUGGGGAUUCAUUCCUUAGUAACGUAGCUAACGCGUGAAGUUGACCGCCUGGGGAGUACGGUCGCAAGAUUAAAACUUAAAUGAAUUGACGGGGUCAUAGCUGUUUCCU